UCCCCUUCUGUGCCCUCAAGAAGCCACCCCUGACGGGCCAAUCUCUCUGGACUAAUGGACUUCACCGCAGUGUCUUUGCUGAAGUGUCUGACUCCACCCAUGCUGUGACUCCUGCUAGGCCACUUCAGAAGAAAUAUGGUGGAAAGAGCUCUAGAUUGACAGCUGUGGUUGAGAGACCGGGGUUCCAGUUGGGACCUUGCUGCCACCUAGCUGUGUGACUUUGGGCAGGGCAUAGCCUCAGGGGGAAGUGGGAGCUUACUGCAUGAUGGCUUGGUGCUUGGAAGAGGAGACCACGGUGACACUGACCACAGCCCUCACCCUAGUCACCUUGAAGGGCGUGCCCUUGGCUGCAGACGGGGGCCUGGCCAAAGUGUGGCAGACGGUGCUCACCGUCAACACUCCUGAGACCAACCAACUGUGGCAGGGGGUGUCAGGCUGCGCCUUGAAUGUCAGGAAGCUCCUUCCUGGAAUCCCCACACCUAAGCUUGCUGUAAGGCAGGCAGCUGGCACCUUGCUCCCAUGGGCAGGGUGAGGGGGACCCUCAGCAGACAGCAUGGCAGGGCACAGCUCCGGUAGGCAGGCUCCCUGCUGACUCGGCUUCCAUCUCAGUCCCCUCCCUGUUCCCCUUUGCCUUUUGUUCUCUCAGGGUCCUCCUCAGAGGCCGAGAAAAUUGCAUGAUACUGAAAUCAAAUGCUGAACUGAAAUUCAACUCUCCCCUUGAAAUUGCUGCAUUCCUUUCCUCCUUCUAAUUUUGUAAUUCAAUCUUUUUAAAAACGUCGGGGGAUUUUGUUUUAUUUUUUCCCACCUGGAGGGUGCUUAUGGAAAUUCAGUUCUCAGCAUUUUAGAUACUUUCUUGCUAAAUUGUUUUGCCAAAUAUUAAUAAUUUUCCAAAUUAUUUCGGCAUCAAGCCAGUGGUUCCCAGAUCUCCCAACAGUGAUAGCCUGUU
RNAcentral lists this long non-coding RNA (946 nucleotides) under Marmota monax (woodchuck). Lineage: Eukaryota; Metazoa; Chordata; Mammalia; Rodentia; Sciuridae. The record is from RNAcentral.